Chinchilla lanigera (long-tailed chinchilla) is the source of this 698-nucleotide long non-coding RNA. RefSeq lists it as uncharacterized. The record is from RefSeq and is a predicted model, not a curated record. The transcript is spliced from 3 exons. NCBI's taxonomy places the organism in Eukaryota, Metazoa, Chordata, Mammalia, Rodentia, Chinchillidae.
UUUAAGAAGUUACUUUCUACAUCAAGGUUAUAAACACAUUAAUCUGUAUUGUCUUCCAUUACAUGUAUUUAAAUACUAGGUCUUUACCUCAUGUGAUGAAGCUGUGAUAAUGUCAAGAUGAAUAUAUUUUUGUUAAAAGGGAAGAAUCAUUAAGAUCUUUAAGAAGAACAGAAAGCUGGGUAACGAAAAAUAGGAAAUCAGCCAGUAACAUUUAAAGGAAAGCACAUGUGUGCCCUGGAUGUGUGGCACUUGCCCCUGGAGGAAAUGAUUCAGGAGUUAAAUGCGAGAGGACAUGAUGCUCAGAAGAAGAUUCUGCUGCUUUCUGAAGUUUAGAGCCUCGAGUCCUGAAUUUCUUGCAGCUCCAUUUUCUGGAGAACCGUUGGCCGCGGCCUCUCCUGUCCAGCGGUAGAUCUCCCCUUGUCCACGCAGCCUGCUCAUCGGGCACCGGCAACGCAGCUGUCAGCGAUUCCACCCCAGGCUGAAGAACUUGCAGGCUGGGCUUCACAGAGUUUCCACUAAAUCAAAUGUUCAUUGGCGACUUUCGAGACCAAAGUAGCAACAAAAAUGAUGAAAGUUAAGGGUGAUGGUCCACACAAAAGCGAUGAAAAAUUGUGGGCACCAAAAUUCAGAAAAGGAUUGUUUAUGCCACACAAAUGCAUAUGUCUGGUACAACACACAAUGCAUUGAAUUGCGAAGUC